UACGUAGGGUGCGAGCGUUGUCCGGAAUUAUUGGGCGUAAAGAGCUUGUAGGCGGUUUGUCGCGUCUGCCGUGAAAUUUCGAGGCUCAACCUCGAACUUGCGGUGGGUACGGGCAGACUAGAGUGUGGUAGGGGAGACUGGAAGUUCCUGGUGUAGCGGUGAAAUGCGCAGAUAUCAGGAGGAACACCGAUGGCGAAGGCAGGUCUCUGGGCCACUACUGACGCUGAGAAGCGAAAGCAUGGGGAGCGAACAGG
This 254-nucleotide ribosomal RNA is filed under the name uncultured bacterium. RNAcentral describes it as "partial 16S ribosomal RNA". It matches the Rfam family "Bacterial small subunit ribosomal RNA", at positions 524 to 776 of the family's 1533-position model. The record is from RNAcentral.